AUUGAACGCUGGCGGCAUGCUUUACACAUGCAAGUCGAACGGUAACAGGCCUUCGGGUGCUGACGAGUGGCGAACGGGUGAGUAAUGCAUCGGAACGUACCCAGAGGUGGGGGAUAACGCAGCGAAAGCUGUGCUAAUACUGCAUGUGAUCUGAGGAUGAAAGCGGGGGACCGAGCAGCAAUGUUUGGCCUCGCGCCUUUGGAGCGGCCGAUGUCGGAUUAGCUAGUUGGUGGGGUAAAGGCCUACCAAGGCGACGAUCCGUAGCUGGUCUGAGAGGACGACCAGCCGCACUGGGACUGAGACGCGGCCCAGACUCCUCCGGGAGGCAGCAGGGGGGAAUUUUGGACGAUGGGCGCAAGCCUGAUCCUGCAAGGCCGCGUGCGUGAAGAAGGCCUUCGGGUUGUAAGCCGCUUUUGGCAGGAACGAAUCGAUGUACGCUAAUACCGAGCGCUAAUGACGGUACCUGCAGAAUAAGCACCGGCUAACUACGUG
RNAcentral lists this ribosomal RNA (492 nucleotides) under uncultured bacterium. Its description in RNAcentral is "partial 16S ribosomal RNA". It matches the Rfam family "Bacterial small subunit ribosomal RNA", at positions 29 to 507 of the family's 1533-position model. The record is from RNAcentral.